UGCCUGGUUACCUGUGCCCAAGGAAUUCUGGGUAUAUCAUGUGAUCACACAUCACAUGACGCAUCACCUGAUCUUAGGAAGGUCCUAUACAGGAUAUUCUCUUCAGUUUGUCUUGUCCUGUUGUGCAUUUGUUGUUUGCACUUUACCUGAGCCACAAGACUUAUUACUCCCAUUGGUCACUGACGUCUAACGUCCAUGUAAGAAUAUGACUGGGAUCAUCUUCAUCCUUGGCCUCCUGACCCGAGGCCCCUAGACCAGGUCCGAUCUAUAGUAGUCUUCAUCUGGAUUAUACCUUGACUUGGAGACACGUCGUGUGGAUUAAACCAUACACUGACAGCGGAGAAUCGGAUGAUACAAAUUAGAGUGUAAGCUCUUCUGCACCGGCCGGUGAGCGGCAUCAGGACGUGUCCUCGUUUUUUGUAGAGGGGCAGGUUGUCUAUGCUUUUUAUGCUUUUUUUUGUUUGUUUUUUAUGGAGUAAACCCUGAACUUUGCAUAGGACUGCCGGACCGGUUACCUAGCAGAGCCGUAGACAAGGGCCGUCCUAUUCCGGCUUCUCAAAGGGACAUUUCUUCAUUUUGUAUUUUUUUUUUGUUGUUUAAUUAGUCCAGCCAUUUAUUCGGCGCAUGCAUGAGGGAGCAGUAAUACGCUAUGGCAGUUCCCACCAUAUUCCGCUCCAGAUUCCCCAGUCCCUGCCAAAUCGGACGCAUUAACCCUUCAGCCUCUGCAACAAUGCCCCCCCCCUCCUCCCCCCAGCCCUAUAUGGCAAUACACCUUACAGUUUGCUAUGUUACGGCAGGUGAUUAUACAACAUCCAUAGGGCAGGGCCCUUUUCGUACACUUUUUCGAAAAAUACCCAUAAGUCCCCAACAAUGUCCAGAUAUUUAAAAAAUAGGAAUAUAAGGAAAUUGCACCAGUUUCGGAUAUAGGUUGCAUGGAUUUCUGCCAAACUCCAUUCGGGUGAAUGAUAGAAAUUUCUGCAGCUAUAUAAAAUGCAACCAGGGUGGCUCCAGCUGUUGCAAAACGACAACUCCCAGCAUGCCCGUAAUGCUGGGAUUUGUAGUUUUGUAACAGCUGGA
Hyla sarda is the source of this 1077-nucleotide long non-coding RNA. RefSeq lists it as uncharacterized. The transcript has 4 exons. Lineage: Eukaryota; Metazoa; Chordata; Amphibia; Anura; Hylidae. The record is from RefSeq and is a predicted model, not a curated record.